RNAcentral lists this transfer RNA (73 nucleotides) under Marmota monax (woodchuck). RNAcentral's name for it is "tRNA.Ala". The record is from RNAcentral. Lineage: Eukaryota; Metazoa; Chordata; Mammalia; Rodentia; Sciuridae.
GUGGGGUUGUGACUCAGUGGAAGAGUGCUUGCCUAGCAUGUGUGAGGCACUGGGUUCAAUCCUUAGCACCACA